CGUGCGUCUGCCCACCAAGGACUUUGAGGUGGACCUGCUAGAAAUUGGGGGCAGCCAGAACCUACGCUUCUACUGGAAGGAGUUUGUGAGCGAGGUGGAUGUGCUGGUGUUUGUGGUGGACUCGGCUGACCGACUGCGGCUGCCCUGGGCCCGACAGGAGCUGCACAAGCUGCUGGACAAGGACCCUGACCUGCCUGUCGUCGUGGUGGCCAACAAGCAGGUGAGGGCUGUGAGAGGGCAGCUCGGUCCAGGCGACGUCCACUCAGAGAUGAUUGGGCAGGGGCAAGGAGCGCUGCCUGGGCCCAUGGCCUGGAGAGGGUGGCUGAGAUGCUGCCCCCACCUCUUCUACCUAUGCCCUGUCCUGA
RNAcentral lists this small RNA (365 nucleotides) under Pan troglodytes (chimpanzee). RNAcentral's name for it is "retained intron". Lineage: Eukaryota; Metazoa; Chordata; Mammalia; Primates; Hominidae. The record is from RNAcentral.